This 411-nucleotide ribosomal RNA is filed under the name uncultured bacterium. RNAcentral describes it as "bacterial SSU rRNA". It matches the Rfam family "Bacterial small subunit ribosomal RNA", at positions 64 to 507 of the family's 1533-position model. The record is from RNAcentral.
GAACGAGAAAGGGGAGCAAUCCCUGAGUAAAGUGGCGACCGGGUGAGUAACACGUGACUAACCUGCCUUCGAGUGGGGAAUAACCUCGGGAAACCGGGGCUAAUACCGCAUAAUGCCUUCGGGUUAAAGGAGCAAUUCGCUUGAAGAGGGGGUCGCGGCUGAUUAGCUAGUUGGCGGGGUAACGGCCCACCAAGGCGAAGAUCGGUAUCCGGCCUGAGAGGGCGCACGGACACACUGGAACUGAAACACGGUCCAGACUCCUACGGGAGGCAGCAGUGGGGAAUUUUGCGCAAUGGGGGAAACCCUGACGCAGCAACGCCGCGUGGAGGAUGAAGCCCUUUGGGGCGUAAACUCCUUUCGACUCGGAAGAUAAUGACGGUACGAGUGGAAGAAGCGCCGGCUAACUCUGUG